UACGUAGGUGGCAAGCGUUGUCCGGAUUUACUGGGCGUAAAGGGCGCGUAGGCGGUCGUGACAAGUCACUUGUGAAAUCUCCGGGCUUAACUCGGAACGGUCAAGUGAUACUGUCGGACUAGAGUACAGAAGGGGCAACUGGAAUUCUCGGUGUAGCGGUGAAAUGCGUAGAUAUCGAGAGGAACACCUGCGGCGAAGGCGGGUUGCUGGGCUGAUACUGACGCUGAGGCGCGAAAGCCAGGGGAGCGAACAGG
This 254-nucleotide ribosomal RNA is filed under the name uncultured bacterium. Its description in RNAcentral is "partial 16S ribosomal RNA". It matches the Rfam family "Bacterial small subunit ribosomal RNA", at positions 524 to 776 of the family's 1533-position model. The record is from RNAcentral.